Molecule: long non-coding RNA, 757 nt
Filed under: Vitis vinifera (wine grape)
Lineage: Eukaryota; Viridiplantae; Streptophyta; Magnoliopsida; Vitales; Vitaceae
Description: long non-coding RNA (VVIN_LNC000704)
Source: RNAcentral
UCUUAUUUUCUACAAGGUUAUAUUUGGUAUUUAAUUAAAAAAUGAUUCAUGGAAAAUAUUUAAUAGAAAAAUACUCUUUAAUUUGGCAACAUAUACUGAGAGUGACAGAAGCUUCGAGUAGAAGUUGCAGGACACGUACCUGGGCAUCAAACAUGUUCGUGUACUUGAUAUUGUUGCCCGAGUCAACUCGUCCCGCGUUGGGUUGAAACAGGCAAAAGGCGAGUGUCUCGGGCCUGGGAUCGCUCUGGUACGCGAAGAAAGGGUAUGGGUUGAUGGCAAAAGGCGAGCCAGUGUUUCUCUGGAACUCCAACAAGCCCCUCAUUGUGUCCGAAGUCGCCGGGUUGAAAGCGCCGGAGGAGGGCGGGUCAGACUGAGUCAACACGGCCAUGGAGUGCACGGUUGAGACCUUGAUUUUUCCUCCCAGUGACGCCGCGUUGAGGGCAUUCUGGACAUUUUGCAUCGCCGGCAAGAGCUGCGACAUCAGGUUCUGGUCGGUGGAGCUCAUGACCUCGUUGCCAACAGUGAUGAGGAUAAUCUUGCUUGCAGGGUAGUAGGCGAUGACGUUUGAGUUCACCCACUGAGCCGCGAAGUUCGGAUCGGAGGCUAGGGCGGGGAUGUCGCCGUUGGCGGCGCCGAUAACGAUCCCGAUACCAGUGUUGGCAAGAGCUUUGAUGAUUCCCGGAUCGGCGCCGUAUAAUCUGACCUUUUCAAUUGACGUGGAUUUGAGCAGCUUCGCGGUGGCCUCAGGCGGCGGUAG